CUCGGACCCCUCCCAUCCUCCUCCGCCCCACUCUGUGUCAGAGGCUGGGGCCCCGGGCCGGAUUUCGGGCGGCGGGUCCGGGUGGCGGGGCUGGAGGGUGUGGACCCGCGCAGCGCUCAGCAGGCCGUGUCCGGCUGGGCGCUGCAGCUGCCGCCGCCGCCGCCCAAGGCCCUCGGCAUCCCCCGGAGAGAGACCAGAGCGAUUCCGGGCCGUCCCGGCGCUCGCUCAGGUGUUCGCCCUUCGUAUCCUGCUCCUGCAUCAAUGCAGUACCCCAGAUCGCCCUCCUGCAUGGAAGCGCUACCCAUCUCUUUGGGGUCUGAUGCCUUCCACUUGGGUUCUGACACCCUGCACCAGGCAACCUGCCUGUGUGGAU
RNAcentral lists this long non-coding RNA (373 nucleotides) under Balaenoptera musculus (blue whale). RNAcentral describes it as "lncRNA (ENSBMSG00010005537.1)". The record is from RNAcentral. Lineage: Eukaryota; Metazoa; Chordata; Mammalia; Artiodactyla; Balaenopteridae.